UCGCCAUUACAGCUUCCUUUUUACCUGCUGCAAGCGACGUAGGCGAGCGACAGAGAUUGUCCUGACACAGGCGUCUCUCCUUGGUUUACCGGAAUUCUAAUCUGCCCCAUCUCUCGUUAUGCUCGUGCGGAUGCUCCAACGCCUCGAAAAACAAAACAUUCUGCCGUAACCGAAAAGUGGGGUGCCCCAACUUCCUCUGGUUUUCUUGAAAAGAUGUCAGAUAGAUGCUUUCUCCUUGAUUCAUCUUGUUCUUUCUUUUUUGAUUACGUUGCUGGGUUUGUUCAUCGAGUAGUUUCAGAGGAGAUCACGUACAAAGCAGUAAUCUUCAAGGAAACUUCCUCCCUGGGGCUUCCUGUAGCAGUGACAGAGCUACAGUAAUGGAGCCUCUGGAGGGUUCUUUCGUGGGAACUACCUCCUCUGAGGAAGAUGAUCCUUUUCCAUCAGUAAAAGAGAGGAGAAUCCCGAUCUGCAUUUUCUUUCGUAACGCGAGGCUCAUUUUGAAAUUUGAUGAACUUGGUCGAGAGAUAGCUCAAAUAGCAUUGCCUGCUGCCCUUGCUUUGACUGCCGACCCUAUUGCGUCUCUUGUUGACACGGCUUUCAUCGGUCGAAUUGGUCCUGCGGAACUAGCAGCUGUGGGUGUAUCAAUUGCGCUGUUCAAUCAAGUGUCGCGGAUCGCUAUAUUCCCGCUCGUCAGUGUCACCACAUCCUUUGUUGCCGAGGAAGAUACUAUUAGAAGUGUGAGCUCUGAAGCGCAGGAGAGCGAAUGCUUGGAGGCGUGCUCUAUUGAAAAUGCCGAAAAUAUGGAGUUGAUACCCCAAAAUGAAUCCAGUGAUCAUCUGUCCGAGUUGAUACAGAUCAGUAGCUUCAAAGUAUCGAAGUUUGACCAGAUGCCCAGAAGAAGACACAUCCCAUCGGCUUCAUCUGCGUUGGUAAUUGGCAGUGUUCUCGGUCUUCUUCAAGCCAUUUUUCUCAUUUCCGCCGCAAAACCAUUGCUGAAUUUCAUGGGAGUGGGAUCAGAUUCCCCUAUGCUAACUCCUGCCCAACAGUACUUGACAUUGAGGUCACUUGGUGCACCAGCAGUUCUUCUCUCGCUCGCCAUGCAGGGGGUCUUCCGUGGAUUUAAAGAUACGACAACGCCUUUGAUUGCAACUGUGGCGGGAGAUGUAACGAACAUAAUCUUAGACCCCCUAUUCAUAUUUGUUUUCCAUCUGGGCGUCAGUGGUGCGGCUAUUGCCCAUGUUAUAUCUCAGUACGUGAUUUCACUUAUUCUCCUGUGGAAACUGAUGCAGCAAAUUGAUCUCUUACCUCCAAGUUUUAAACAUUUGCAGUUUGGCCGUUUUCUAAAGAAUGGUUUUCUGCUACUAAUGAGAGUUGUCGCCGUGACGUUCUGUGUGACUCUUGCCGCAUCCAUGGCGGCUCGCUUGGGGCCGACAUCGAUGGCCGCAUUUCAAGUCUGCUUGCAAGUGUGGUUGGCGACAUCGCUCCUUGCAGAUGGGCUUGCUGUCGCUGGACAGGCAAUCCUGGCAAGCGCGUUUGCGAAGAAGGAUUACAACAAGGCCAGAGAGACCACAUCCCGAGUACUCCAGUUGGGACUGCUUCUGGGACUGGCGCUAGCAGUCCUUCUCGGAGUAGGAAUGCAUUUUGGAGCAAGAUUAUUCACAACGGAUGUUGGUGUCCUCCGUGUAAUCAGUAUCGGAAUACCGCCUCUGAUCAACAUCAGUUUAUUGCUGCUACUCAACCCAUAAAUGCCUUGGCCUUCGUUUUUGACGGCGUCAACUUUGGAGCGUCUGAUUUUGCAUACUCUGCCUACUCCAUGGUCGCUGUCGCCGUGGUCAGCAUUCUCUGCUUGUUUAUACUUUCGUCUAGUCAUGGCUUCAUUGGAAUUUGGAUUGCUCUAACCAUUUAUAUGAGCCUCCGGGCAUUUGCUGGAUUUUGGAGGAUCGGGACUGGGACGGGUCCUUGGAAUUUUCUCUGGGGCUGAACAAGUAAUCCACAGGCGGCUUUGCUGCAAAUUCAUAUCGCCGCUAUGUGAUGGUCCCUAUCUGUACACUAUAUAGGAAUAGAAAGGAAACUGACGAAAAGGGCCGGCUUUAUCUCACAUUGGCUAGCAAGGAAGAUGGAGAGCCUGUCGAAAACAAUAAUCUGGAAGCGUAGUUAUGUAUAUAGAUUAUUAUGCGCACAGCGCCAAUAGUUUUCAGCCUUCUUUCUCGGUGGAGCAUUAUGUGUGUGUUAGAUUUGCUAAAACCAAAUGACUGCCCGUUCGAUCUCUGCAUCGGGCGUGAAAAUAGCUCCAGCUUCGAAGGCUAUGUUAGAUUUUGCCCAUGAAUCUUCUGCUCAACCACCUUCUGUCAAAUCUGUACAUAACUUUCACAGGAAAAGAGAAUCUUUAGAGAGAUGAUGUAAGUCUUGGUUUCUCUGUUGGGAUGGUUGCUUCUUCCUCCCAUGACUGUCUUCCACGUCAAGUUAAGACCCUGUUUCACUUCGCUUGCAAACCAGGAGUUUCAACCGCGGCAGCAGCAGGAGCAAGAACAGAUACAUAAAUACUGCAAGUACAGCAUUAGGUAUGUGCAGUUCAUAUAUGCAUGUCUCGGGGCGAUUUGGUAUUGAGAGAUGUCGGCUAACGGGUCCGAUCACGAGCUUAAGGAACCUUGUGCUGUUCGAUGAGAAUAACGAUUGCUUGGCAGUCUCUUGAUCAUCGAUGAGAAUAAUGAGGCCACAUUAUUGUGUGAUUA
This is an RNA transcript of Eucalyptus grandis, 2732 nucleotides long. It is a transcript of the gene named protein DETOXIFICATION 42, with no coding region annotated. Lineage: Eukaryota; Viridiplantae; Streptophyta; Magnoliopsida; Myrtales; Myrtaceae. The transcript has 14 exons. The record is from RefSeq and is a predicted model, not a curated record.